GCACACCCGAGCCUGAGACAACAGCUCUGCUAAGUGCCCUUGAGAGGGCACGGUGGGGUCAGCACCAAAGUCAGACCACUAAAGAGAAAAAGAGAGAAAGACAGGAUUGCAGAGGAGAAAUGAGAAUGGCAGAAAAAAUAAUUUUUUAAGCCAAAAGGAAUCAGAGAAGAGCAGAAGUGCCUCUAGGAUAAAGCGUAGCAGGCAGUUAGGGAAAAAGGGCUGUUAACUACCUUGAAGCUCUGACUACAUUAGAAAGCCUCGCAAGACAGUCGUUGCUUGCACGGGCAGGUAGAGAACUUUUCCUGUCCAUUGUUCUUCUGAAUUAUAAAUCACUGACCUCUUUAUGAUUUCUAAAGGGAAAAUGACUUCAAGCUUCUUAGAGUUCCCCUAAGGCAUUCUCUAUAUUCAAUAUAAUAUGGGAAGCCCUGGGUUUGUCUUUGUAUGUUUCAUCUGCAGUGACCUGAAAUCUUCAUAACCCUCUUCCUUUCUCCACUUAUCAACUAAGGGGUGGUUGGCAAUAAGGAUGGGUGGGAGAGAAAAAAAAACAGAAUUUGAGGAGGAGAGCAUUUAAACCAUCAGACUGUGUGUUCUGUGACAUCAAAGACUGGCAACAUUCUAAAGGAAAAGCAGCUGUGAAGUCAUAAUUAUGUUCACUUCCCACUGGCAACUGGCAAGCCCUUUAUUUUUGUGCAUUCGGAACUCACCAAGAAUAAAUAAAGUCCAUUCCCUCCUUGAAAAAAAAAAAAAAAAAAAAAAAAAAAA
RNAcentral lists this long non-coding RNA (762 nucleotides) under Homo sapiens (human). Its description in RNAcentral is "long independently transcribed non-coding RNA 1712 (LINC01712)". The record is from RNAcentral. Lineage: Eukaryota; Metazoa; Chordata; Mammalia; Primates; Hominidae.